UCCGAAGUAGCUCAGUUGGUUAGAGCAUCUGACUGUUAAUCAGAGGGUCGCAGGUUCAAGUCCUGCCUUCGGAG
Molecule: transfer RNA, 74 nt
Filed under: Ignavibacteria bacterium
Lineage: Bacteria; Pseudomonadati; Ignavibacteriota; Ignavibacteria
Description: tRNA-Asn
Rfam family: tRNA
About the family: Transfer RNA (tRNA) molecules are approximately 80 nucleotides in length. Their secondary structure includes four short double-helical elements and three loops (D, anti-codon, and T loops).
Source: RNAcentral